CGUCUGUCACGGGGCGUGGUCACAGUGACGUGUUGUUUGUGCAGCGAGGCUGUGAUGAAGGUCGCUCCCGGUGACAGGGUACACCGCCACAGCUGUGACCCUACACACUUCUGGUGCUCCACCUGGCUGCCUGCAGUGCUGUUGGUCUCAGGGCUCGACCUGUCCUGUCUCCCCUGGUCCUCACACUGAUCCAUGGGCCCCGACCCAUGAGGUGGUGCAAACCCAUUUAGCCCAAAUGCAAAGGGUUCUGGCCCACCUGA
Molecule: long non-coding RNA, 260 nt
Organism: Xiphias gladius (swordfish)
Lineage: Eukaryota; Metazoa; Chordata; Actinopteri; Istiophoriformes; Xiphiidae
Exons: 3
Source: RefSeq, a predicted model, not a curated record